This 253-nucleotide ribosomal RNA is filed under the name uncultured bacterium. RNAcentral describes it as "partial 16S ribosomal RNA". It matches the Rfam family "Bacterial small subunit ribosomal RNA", at positions 524 to 776 of the family's 1533-position model. The record is from RNAcentral.
UACGUAGGGGGCAAGCGUUGUCCGGAAUCAUUGGGCGUAAAGCGCGCGUAGGUGGCCUCGUAAGUCCGCUGUGAAAGUCAAAGGCUCAACCUUUGAAAGCCGGUGGAUACUGUGAGGCUAGAGUACGGAAGAGGCGAGUGGAAUUCCUGGUGUAGCGGUGGAAUGCGCAGAUAUCGGGAGGAACACCGGUGGCGAAGGCGGUUCUCUGGGCCUUACCUGACGCUGAGGAGCGAAAGCGUGGGGAGCGAACAGG